UUGAAGGCCCUGCAAAGCAGCAUCGCGGUGGCGGAGCGUCGUUUGCGACGCCCAACACACAAAACAAGCGGUGAGUGCUUUGGGGUGGGGUGACUGCGUACCUUUUGUAUAAUGGGUCAGCGACUUAUAUUCUGUAGCAAGGUUAACCGUAUAGGGGAGCCGAAGGGAAACCGAGUCUUAACUGGGCGUUAAGUUGCAGGGUAUAGACCCGAAACCCGGUGAUCUAGCCAUGGGCAGGUUGAAGGUUGGGUAACACUAACUGGAGGACCGAACCGACUAAUGUUGAAAAAUUAGCGGAUGACUUGUGGCUGGGGGUGAAAGGCCAAUCAAACCGGGAGAUAGCUGGUUCUCCCCGAAAGCUAUUUAGGUAGCGCCUCGUGAACUCAUCUUCGGGGGUAGAGCACUGUUUCGGCUAGGGGGUCAUCCCGACUUACCAACCCGAUGCAAACUGCGAAUACCGAAGAAUGUUAUCACGGGAGACACACGGCGGGUGCUAACGUCCGUCGUGAAGAGGGAAACAACCCAGACCGCCAGCUAAGGUCCCAAAGUCACAGUUAAGUGGGAAACGAUGUGGGAAGGCUCAGACAGCCAGGAUGUUGGCUUAGAAGCAGCCAUCAUUUAAAGAAAGCGUAAUAGCUCACUGGUCGAGUCGGCCUGCGCGGAAGAUGUAACGGGGCUAAACUGUGCACCGAAGCUGCGGCAGCGACGCUUAUGCGUUGUUGGGUAGGGGAGCGUUCUGUAAGCCUGCGAAGGUGUCCUGUGAGGGAUGCUGGAGGUAUCAGAAGUGCGAAUGCUGACAUAAGUAACGAUAAUGCGGGUGAAAAGCCCGCUCGCCGGAAGACCAAGGGUUCCUGUCCAACGUUAAUCGGGGCAGGGUGAGUCGACCCCUAAGGCGAGGCCGAAAGGCGUAGUCGAUGGGAAACGGGUUAAUAUUCCCGUACUUGGUGUUACUGCGAAGGGGGGACGGAGAAGGCUAUGUUGGCCGGGCGACGGUUGUCCCGGUUUAAGCGUGUAGGCUGGUUUUCCAGGCAAAUCCGGAAAAUCAAG
This 1047-nucleotide ribosomal RNA is filed under the name Salmonella enterica. RNAcentral describes it as "bacterial LSU rRNA". It matches the Rfam family "Bacterial large subunit ribosomal RNA", at positions 566 to 1554 of the family's 2925-position model. Lineage: Bacteria; Pseudomonadati; Pseudomonadota; Gammaproteobacteria; Enterobacterales; Enterobacteriaceae. The record is from RNAcentral. RNAcentral also lists the same sequence under 1 other name.